ACUGGUUGGAGAUUCCUUCUUUGUGGAGUCCUUUCCAUGAGCCUUGAGCUUCAGAGAUAGGCUGCAAUGAGGUAUUUCUGCAGCCUUCUCUUCUCCAGGAACAAGCCAAGCUCCUUCAGCCUAUCUUCAUAGGAGGAGAGGUGCUCCAGCCCUCUGACCGUUUUUUGUAGUCCUCAUCUGGACCCUCUUCAAAAGCUCCAUAUCUUUCCUGUGUUGAGGACACCAGACAUAGAGGCAAUAUCGUAGCUGGGGACUCACAAGAGCCCCCUGAUCAGGUGACCAGUAGUACACUCCAACUACUAGAUGCCCCUUAUUGGUCCUGUCCCUAAUGUUUCACCCAGAAGCUCUCAACCUGGUUGUUUUUUUUUUUGUCACUUUGACCACCUUUGAGAUGGCUGCUGUCAAAUUCACUGUCCUCCAUAUGCUGCUGCAUCUUGUUUUCCCCUGUGUCUGAGCCAGGCCUGGUGCUGGCUUUGCUGCUGGGGCUGGUGAUGCAACGCUGCCACACUGGACCAGGUGCUGGGGCAAGAGGUGGUGGAGGAACCUCAGGAGCCAUGAGUUGACAUUAAAGAGGAAGAGUGGCAGAACUAUCCAAAGGAGAAGAGCCAAAUAAUAACAAUCAUUAGUUCUGUGCUCAAAUGGAAGCUAAAGGGACUAAAGAGGCAAACUGACCAAGAAGGUAUCCAUCAUACACAGUGUUCAUGCUGUGAAGACAAAAAUAAGUGCCUUGGGUAAAGUUCUGUGCUGUGGGACACAGAAUCACUUUCUUAAUGCCGAUGGCAAAAUGGCAGACAGGAAGAAGUAGUAAUAUAUCAAGUGAAUGAAGGCAUGAAGUUCUCCUACAAAAAGGGAGAUGCAUAUAGGAUGGCUUUGAGAGGUUCUAGGCCUCUAGACAUGUAAAGUACAUGUACACUGCAGUCAUUCAGCAUACUCAUUGAAAUGUACCAGUUUGAUUUCCAUUUCUGACCAGUUUGAUUUUCAUUUCUCUGUGAAAAUGGGGAAAAUGGCACAGGAUAAACAGACAGUUAAAAAAAAAAAAAUUACAUUGCAGUUCAGCUACUCAAUGGGGAACAUUGAGCAUUGAAGCUCACGUUGGUGACCUUCACAUGAUUAGAUAUUGCAUGAAUAAAAUAUCUAUUGCUUGAACUAUCGUAUUCUCUUCGCACAUUGAAAUUCUGGGCAGCUUUGUUCUUUUUGUGCCAAUUGUUAAAGGUGAUUAGCAGUUGCAGUUGUAGAGUAACACAACACUGACAUUUAUAUUUCUUACUGUGGCCUUAUGUAUGCUCGCCCUGUAAGACAAAGGUAGAGUGUUAAAUAUCUGUACCAUAUUCUGUAAUGCACUACAGGAAUAUGCUCAUCUUUCAGAUUUAAUUUUUUUUUCCAAUUCAUUUAUUCUAAUUUAGACAAAGGGUAAAUACUUUCUCAGUCAAGCCUUGGGAAUAACAAAUCAGUAGCAUGGUUUGCUUUCUCUUUUGGUCACCAAGGGCUGCCUAUAGCUUCUUCAAGCUCUCAGUUUCUGACUUGGCAUGUUUGUUUGAUUUCUCUCCAUGCUGAUAUAGCUCAGGUGCGUGAACGAAUAUUUGAACAAAAUGGGUAUUAAAUAUGAUUCCUAUAGUUUUCUAGGCUAGUAAUAAUUGCAGAGUAGGCCUGAUACAUUUCUGAGGAAUGGAGCCUAUAAUGAUCUCAAUCCAGGAGAGCAUUUAUAUCUAAAAGUGAAUCACCUCUACGAGUAUUCCCAACUUAUAAUCAAAGUGAGCAGAGGAAGAGUUAGGAUUGUCACUUUUGGAUAAUUAUAGGUAUUGUGUAGCAAAGGAUAUAAGUAUUAAGAGAACUGGUCAAAUCACAAAUGGCUGUUUUACCAUGUUUUCCUACUAAGAAAUGUUUAUUUUUUUCCUUAAUACAUCCUGCUAUUCCAGUGUCACUCUUUAACUUGUUGUUCUGUUGUAUUUUUUUUUAUCACAGUUGCCAUUAAAAAAAUCAAACCCAGUACAUUUUACUUUCCAAAAUGUUUCAAAGGUAUUUGUGUUUGUUUUAAUGUAAGAUUUCUUGAAGUACUUUUUUUUAAUUCAUUCUGGUAGCAUUUGUCUUUGCAACAGAACUUUUUUCCUGUCUCUAUUUGUUACUUUCCAUCUUAAAGAAGAAAAUUGAACAAAAGUAUUCCCAUGACUUCUUGAAAAUUCAUACCAAGACAUUGCAAGACCAGAUGCUAAAGUCUCAUAAAUUAAAAAGGCAUUAUAUACAGCCAGCUGUACCAUAUAAACUCAGAUUUUUAUACCACAUUGUGGUGUUCUGCGAAUCCUCAUUUGUUUUCCACAUCUGUUUGGACCUGUCCAUGCCUCCCAUUUAAAAAUUAGAAGUAAUCAUAUGCUAGAACAUAUCUGUAUGUUUGUGGUUUGACCUAAUGAAAAAGCUAUUAUAGUAUGAAUAUUGUGUUCAAAAAAAAAAAGAAUAUUCUGCUUUUACUUUUGCUGAUUGUAGGACAGUUUAUACAAAAGCAUUAUAGGGAAUAAGUUCCAUAUAAAGAUUUUUUUCUUGCAGUUCCAGUGGAUUAUUCACUUCUACAUGAAAAAUGUUAUGCUAUCUGGCUCUUUGAUGUAUAUCCCUUCUUAUUGGCAUUUCAACAUUCGUAUACUACUCUAAUUUUUUUAUGAUAAGUUACUAAAUCCUGCUCUAGACACAUCUCUUAAUGAGCAUUUUAAUAAUGCCUUUGCAUGGUCUCCAAAACCAAUUUCAGCUUUCUGUGUGUGAAGGUGACACAAUGAAUUAUAGGUGGAUUACUUGAAAU
Molecule: long non-coding RNA, 2785 nt
Filed under: Gallus gallus (chicken)
Lineage: Eukaryota; Metazoa; Chordata; Aves; Galliformes; Phasianidae
Description: lncRNA (ENSGALG00010025500.1)
Source: RNAcentral